Molecule: ribosomal RNA, 380 nt
Filed under: uncultured phototrophic eukaryote
Lineage: Eukaryota
Description: SSU rRNA
Rfam family: Bacterial small subunit ribosomal RNA
Source: RNAcentral
CGAAAGCCUGACGGAGCAAUACCGCGUGAGGGAAGACGGCCUAUGGGUUGUAAACCUCUUUUUUCAGGGAGGAAUAAUUGACGUGUACCUGAAGAAUAAGCAUCGGCUAACUCCGUGCCAGCAGCCGCGGUAAGACGGAGGAUGCAAGUGUUAUCCGGAAUCACUGGGCGUAAAGCGUCUGUAGGUUGUUGAACAAGUCAACUGUUAAAUCUUGAGGCUCAACUUCAAAAUCGCAGUCGAAACUGUUUGACUAGAGUAUAGUAGGGGUAAAGGGAAUUUCCAGUGGAGCGGUGAAAUGCGUAGAUAUUGGAAAGAACACCGAUGGCGAAGGCACUUUACUGGGCUAUUACUGACACUCAGAGACGAAAGCUAGGGUAGCA